GUGGGGAAUAUUCCGCAAUGGACGAAAGUCUGACGGAGCAACGCCGCGUGAGUGAUGAAGGUUUUCGGACUGUAAAGCUCUGUUGUUUAGGACGAAAGUGCCUGUUGCAAACAGUUACAGGUAUUGACGGUACUAAACGAGGAAGCCACGGCUAACUACGUGCCAGCAGCCGCGGUAAUACGUAGGUGGCAAGCGUUGUCCGGAAUUAUUGGGCGUAAAGAGCAUGUAGGCGGGAAUCUAAGUCUGUUGUGAAAAUGCGGGGCUCAACCCCGUAUUGCGAUGGAAACUGGGUGUCUUGAGUGCAGGAGAGGAAAGGGGAAUUCCCAGUGUAGCGGUGAAAUGCGUAGAUAUUGGGAGGAACACCAGUGGCGAAGGCGGCUUUCUGGACGGUGUCUGACACUGAGGCGCGAAAGCUAGGGGAGCGAACGGGAUUAGAUACCCGGGUAGUCC
This 450-nucleotide ribosomal RNA is filed under the name uncultured bacterium. Its description in RNAcentral is "partial 16S ribosomal RNA". It matches the Rfam family "Bacterial small subunit ribosomal RNA", at positions 354 to 796 of the family's 1533-position model. The record is from RNAcentral.